AACGUAGGAGGCGAGCGUUAUCCGGAUUUACUGGGUGUAAAGCGCGUGCAGGCGGUUGGCUAAGUUGGGGGUGAAAGCUCCUGGCUCAACUGGGAGAGGUCGCUCAAGACUGGCCGACUGGAGAGCAGUAAGGGAAGGUGGAAUUCCGGGUGUAGUGGUGAAAUGCGUAGAUAUCCGGAGGAACACCAGUGGCGAAGGCGGCCUUCUGGACUGCUUCUGACGCUCAGACGCGAAAGCUAGGGGAGCAAACGGG
This 253-nucleotide ribosomal RNA is filed under the name uncultured bacterium. RNAcentral's name for it is "partial 16S ribosomal RNA". It matches the Rfam family "Bacterial small subunit ribosomal RNA", at positions 524 to 776 of the family's 1533-position model. The record is from RNAcentral.